AUGCCCAUCGCGGCACACAUAAUAUUGGAACAAUACAGAGAAGAUUAGCAUGGCCCCUGCAAAAGGAUGACACAUCUUGACCAUUGAGGAGCACGUUUAACGUGCAAAUAUUUUU
Wallemia sebi is the source of this 115-nucleotide non-coding RNA. NCBI's taxonomy places the organism in Eukaryota, Fungi, Basidiomycota, Wallemiomycetes, Wallemiales, Wallemiaceae. The record is from Rfam.